Molecule: long non-coding RNA, 720 nt
Organism: Panicum virgatum (switchgrass)
Lineage: Eukaryota; Viridiplantae; Streptophyta; Magnoliopsida; Poales; Poaceae
Exons: 2
Source: RefSeq, a predicted model, not a curated record
CACGGCCGGUACUGGCUCGGCGACAGCAUAGUCGACACGGCCAGUACGCCCACUCUCUCCCAGCUUCGGGUAAGGACCACUGACUCGACCCCGCCCAUACUUCCACGGCCCGAGAUUUCAGUGGCCAGCAUGCAUGCAUUCCAGGUUAUUUCUGUUUCAUUCGUCGGUUGUUUACGUACCUUUGUUUCGCAUUUUGACUUUGGGGUGAAAUCUUGUAGGCCCGGCUUGACAAAGAGAAGAGACUGCGGCAGGAGUUGGAAGAGAGGUUGGAGCAGGAGCGGAAGCUGAGGGAGGAGCAAGACCAAAGGUACGCCACCAUGUUCGCCUACAUGCAAGGUCUAGGUGCAUCGAUAAACUAUCAACCGCCGCCAACAAUGCCGUGGCCUCCGCCAACUGCACCUCCACCACAGUUGCUCGGCACACCGAUGGUAUUUCCUAGUGCAGUCACCCCCAAUCUAUCGGGGGUGGCAUCGAAUGAGCCUCCGGAUCAGCACUCCCCGGCGUCGCAGUGGCCAGGUUCAAGAUCUGAGCAGAGAUGAUUAAGGUAUCGUUCAGUUGUCAAGUGUGCGUUGUACUAUGGUUGUUAGACUGCCGGAUGUUGGACUUGUAGCUGUUGGACUUGUCGAUGUUGGAAUAAUGCUUGUACUAUGGAUUAUGAAUGCUUUGUGGACUAAAUUUGAACAUUAUGUGAUAUUUGUGAUAUAAAUGCGAUGUUUGUGA